Molecule: long non-coding RNA, 581 nt
Filed under: Homo sapiens (human)
Lineage: Eukaryota; Metazoa; Chordata; Mammalia; Primates; Hominidae
Description: HSALNT0337769
Source: RNAcentral
AUCCCCAACCUUUUGCUGCUGCUCUGCCCUCACCACCCAGCCGCCUCCCUUGCAGUUUCAACAGCUCCUGCUCAGAAAUGGAUUACACACACCAACAUACCAACAAACCAACAACAAUUAUUUCAGCCUGGCUGGUUCGUGAGAGGACAUAGCAAGAAGUCUGCAAGCCAGGAAGAGGCCCUCACCAGGAGAUGAAUCUGCCUGCAUCUUGAUCUUGAACCUCCCAGCCUCCAGAACUGUGAGAAAUAAAUGUUUGUUGAUUAAGGAAACAAAUAAAACAUAAUUACAAUACAAUCAAAUAUAUGAAAAAGGAGUGUGUAUGUGUGUUUCUGCGUGUGUAUACCUACAAAGAAAAUAAGACUAAAAAACUAUUCUAAAAAUAUUCAUAAGAGUUAUCUCUGAAUUUUGGCAGAAUGUGCAAUUUGCUGCUUCUUUGUAUUUUUCCAGAUUUAUCAUAUCUUCUAUAAUUAACAUGUUACUUCUGUAAAUAGGAAAAAUAUGCAACAAAAGAAAUUAUGCUAGUGUCUUUGAUAAAUCUAAUAAAUCUGGAAGUGUUUGUAUUCUAGAUUGAUUAGCUAUUA